Molecule: ribosomal RNA, 558 nt
Filed under: Colletotrichum acutatum
Lineage: Eukaryota; Fungi; Ascomycota; Sordariomycetes; Glomerellales; Glomerellaceae
Description: eukaryotic LSU rRNA
Rfam family: 5.8S ribosomal RNA (bases 201-354)
Source: RNAcentral
ACCUGCGGAGGGAUUAUUACUGAGUUACGCUCUAUAACCCUUUGUGAACGUACCUAACCGUUGCUUCGGCGGGCAGGGGAAGCCUCUCGCGGGCCUCCCCUCCCGGCGCCGGCCCCCACCACGGGGACGGGGCGCCCGCCGGAGGAAACCAAACUCUAUUUACACGACGUCUCUUCUGAGUGGCACAAGCAAAUAAUUAAAACUUUUAACAACGGAUCUCUUGGUUCUGGCAUCGAUGAAGAACGCAGCGAAAUGCGAUAAGUAAUGUGAAUUGCAGAAUUCAGUGAAUCAUCGAAUCUUUGAACGCACAUUGCGCUCGCCAGCAUUCUGGCGAGCAUGCCUGUUCGAGCGUCAUUUCAACCCUCAAGCACCGCUUGGUUUUGGGGCCCCACGGCCGACGUGGGCCCUUAAAGGUAGUGGCGGACCCUCCCGGAGCCUCCUUUGCGUAGUAACUAACGUCUCGCACUGGGAUCCGGAGGGACUCUUGCCGUUAAACCCCCAAAUUCUUUACAGGUUGACCUCGGAUCAGGUAUGACUACCCGCUGAACUUAAGCAUAU